ACAUUAUUAAAUGUAUUAAAUUGUAAUAAAGUUAUUACUACUCAUUGCAUAAAUUGGGGAGGUUUAAGCAUGUUGACAAAUCCUCUUUAAUUUGCAUAUAUUUUUAAAUGCUCUUAAUUUCAUUUAUUCAGGAAUAAUAGUAUCACUUUUAUUUAUUUGUUAAAAGCCAUACAGCUUUUUUAAUAAAAACUUUUCUAGGAACCGUCCCUUAAUUUGUAUAAUACAAUAUAACAAUUAAUCACAAUAUUAUAGAUUACAAGACUACUAUCUAACAACAUUAAUCAAUAUGUCUAUCAAAUUUGUAAUGAAUACUAUGUGAAUUGUGAU
Non-coding RNA from Cinara cedri, 327 nucleotides. The record is from the annotation of a GenBank genome assembly. Lineage: Eukaryota; Metazoa; Arthropoda; Insecta; Hemiptera; Aphididae.